UAAAUAAUGGGUGCAUUUUAAAUCCGAAGACACGCCCACUGCUGUGGAGUUGCGCUUUGACAUUGAGCACACCUGUGCCACGUAAUUAUGUCGGCGUGUUUGUGGCUUUAUAAAAAGCACAGUUGAGUGGGACACUUUGAUUCCUUUUUUAUCUGUAGGCUGGGUGGCUAGAAAAGGGAGGUGUGCAUGAACGCAGGUAGCAUAUAGUAACAAUAGUUUAACCCCGUUUGUGAGGUAAGCAACUUUAUUGUGGGUUAUUUUGGGGAAGGGGGAAACUGUUUGAAAUGUUUUAUUUGUUUGGGUUUUUUUAGGUGCGCCCAAAGAGCGCUAGCUGCUGUUUCGUACCUGUUCCGUAUAUGCUUUUACACACCGUUUCAUAAACCCGAAUUAGCUUGUUGGGUUACAGUUUGGACCAAGCGGACGUCGCGGUUGUAAACCGCUGUAUUACUGAGUGUUUUAAAAUAUUAUCCUGCGCACUGGUUCUGUGCUAUGUUUGAGUAAGGACUUGGAUAUUUAUCUCUUGUGCAGGUGUAUUAAAUUAACAGGCUUGGUAUUUUUGCUCCGUGAGCCGCUUGGACGCUUUUUAAAUAUUAAUCGGGAGGUAAUUGUUUUUCUCUUUUUAACGUGUAAGUGUAAGUACCAUUUACAUAACUAUUUCCACAUGUAUUUGUCUGAGCUGUGAUUUUUGAGACUUAAGCAGAAGGGGAGAUUGUUUGUGUGUUUUGGGUUUAUUUUUGGUUUAUUCUUGUUUUUUAAGAAUGAUGCACUGAUUUGCUGUGUGCUCUGUCCCUUCUGUUACAAAGAGGAUUUAAUCUAGUCUCUCCGAUUGUGGGUAAAUAACUGGUAAGCUGUAAAUGGUGUUUUAAAAUAUUUUUAAGCAUUCUUUUGUUUAAUAAAUUUGUACUAUUUUUGUAAAG
Silurus meridionalis is the source of this 917-nucleotide long non-coding RNA. RefSeq lists it as uncharacterized. The record is from RefSeq and is a predicted model, not a curated record. Lineage: Eukaryota; Metazoa; Chordata; Actinopteri; Siluriformes; Siluridae. The transcript has 2 exons.